GGGAGUUUAUGUCGCCAUUGUUCCUCCUGCGCUGGGAAAAACUCAAGUUCAGUGAGGAAAAGGACAAUGGUUCUCGCGACGGCAUUCCCACGGCAGCGGGGGAAGAUAUUUUAAUUUUUAAGAGCUCUCUUUCUCUCUCUCUCUCUCAUUGGUUCUGUUCUUGACUUCUUUCUCAGGCUGGCCCAGCAAAACCGGGGGGAAGAGAAACAAGUGGAUCAGAAAGCAGCGUGAAGAUAUGCAGCAUCUCGUACUGGCUUCGCUGGGCUUCGCUAAAUUGCUCGAUUGCUCCGCCUUCUCCAUCGAUGCGUGCUUGCCUUUCUUGGUGGAUGAAAGCCACCGCUUUGUCAUUGGUUUGAAUGGCGUCGUUCCUCCUCCCUCGCCCUCAUCUUCUCCAAGCAACCGCCACCCCCGCCUGCUCCCCCUCUCCUCCUUCUGCUUCUCUUCCUUUUUUUCCGGCGCUUCUCCAUCCUGACCACCACCACCACCAUCGCCUUUCCUUUUCUUCUUCAUUUUCAGCGACGUGGAGGAACUCGAAUACCAAGAAACGGCCAUCGUUAGUUCGAUUCGCGCUUGCAGGAUCCGAGCAGCCCAAUUCGCUCGAACAGCGACAGCAGGAGGCUCUCCGUCCCCUUCUCCAAGAACUCGCUGACAGUUUUGCUCUUCCUAACGAUUACUUCCAACAGCUGCCACGAGAUCUUCGGCUCGACCUGAAUGAUGCUGCAUUUGAUCUUUCACAAGGUCCUGUCAUCGAAGAGUGUGGUCAAGAGCUUGGAGAGAUGCUGUUGAAUCUCUCACGAGCAUGGGAGCUUGCAGAUACAGCUACAUCCAGCGAUAUAGUGAGCAAGCUCCCUGCCUUAGAGCGUCUCUUGACAGACAGUGUCAAAUCAGCGUUUGGAAGGCGCUUAGUAUCUGCAGGCAGGAGAUACGAGUCAAUGGGACAAUAUGGACAAGGCGAACUACAAAGGAUUGCCAAGGCAUUGUCUGCAACAGGGAAAGCGUUGUCUGCUAGUCCAGUCACUGCUGCUAAUGAAAUGCCCAAAGCUCAAAGCAGAGUACUGAAGUUUGGGGAGUUGCAAGUUGAGUUAACGCCUAAGAAAGCAUAUGUUGGUGCUGUUAUUGGUCUUGUAUUUGGGAUUCUCUCUUGGGAGUUGGGUCAAGGUGUCUUAAGCAUACAAGAGAGUUCGUUAGAGUAUGCAAAUGACAAUGCUUUAUUGCUAGCAAAGUCUUUAAGGGGGUCACUUCUGGCUCUUUGCUUCGCAUCUGCUUUCUUGUCGGCAUUUGCAUCUAUUGGACUCAUCUUACUUGGAAGACAACUUGAUUCCAAGGAUAAAUCUUAGAUGUAAGAGAUCGGCUUCAUGUUGCUUGCUCCAGUUGCUAAGUUUGGGAAGUAUGAUAAGGCUGGAGUCUACAGAAAAUUCAUCCCAUGAUGAUGUAUGUUAGGCUGCACAGCAAAUGUCUGGCAAAAAUGAGGAAAAUUAUGUAUACAUGUGUUUGGAAUCCCUACACUGAAGGAGCUUCUCUGCAUUGAAAGUCUGUGAGACCUCUUGCUGCCCGAUUGCUGAUGGAAAAUCGCAUGCGCAGGUAGACCAUGGUUUUCUUAGUUCUUUUGAUUAUGCCUGCAACUACUCAGUAGAGCAGCAUAUGGCAUGCUAGCAAGCAGCGAAUGUGAUUUAGGUCAAAUACAAUGUGUACCUCUUUAGAAUCCUUUCCCUUUUUGGUCGUCUAUAGGCAACUCUGUUUGACAGCCCUAUGGAACUCGGGAACUACCAUCCAGAUUUCAUGUAACGUGAUACAUUUUUGACGAGCACUUACCAGUCCAUGAGUCGUAGCUUGCAAUAAA
Nymphaea colorata (pocket water lily) is the source of this 1840-nucleotide RNA transcript. RefSeq lists it as uncharacterized. The record is from RefSeq and is a predicted model, not a curated record. The transcript is spliced from 10 exons. Lineage: Eukaryota; Viridiplantae; Streptophyta; Magnoliopsida; Nymphaeales; Nymphaeaceae.